GGUGGUUUUGGUGAUGUGAUUCCACCCUUUGCCCCAUUUGUAUAGAAGCUAGGUUAUUGUGCUAUGCUUUGUAAUGUUUUCCUCAGCUUGACCCGUGCCUUUAGAAAGUCUACUAUAUUUGGCUAUGUACACCGCUAUGGAUAUUAUUGUUGAGUUUAAUAAUUUGAGCAGCAUAAUAAUCUAUGAUUUUAGCAUUGUUCUUCAUCUGGCUUCCUGCUGUUGAUAUAAAUUAUGGUUCUGUUCAUGUAGCUUCAGGCUUUUGCAUUCCCUUCUUCCAAUUAGAAGCUCUUGUAAUUCGUAAGCAGUGAAAGAAUAAUAUUAUGUUUCCUUGUCAACAACUUUUGCUCUGAAUGAUUUUUCCAACCAUCUCAAUCCUUCUGUUGUGACUUAAUUUUAACAUCUGCAUUCAGCCUGCUACGCGGAGUAUGUAUUGUGGAGGAAUAUUGUUAUGGUACAAGACUAAGUACAAGGAAUGCUGCACCUUGUCAAAAUAUGCUGCUGUUACUAGAAAUACAUACCCUUCCUCAGUACAAAACAUGUGAGCGCAUGAAAAUAGAGCAAGAGUGGUUAUUAAAGUUAUGUAUUUUCAUUCAGUUCACACUUGUUAUAUGGUCUUGCUUUAGACUUCAGCACUGAUACUAUGAAAUAAUGCUGUGGUUAAUGUCUAUGUUUACCGUGUCUUUUCAGUUCUUGGAUUUUAAUACAACAUGUUGCUACAAUAUUUUUUGGUAUAUUGUGUUCUUUUUCUUCUGCUUUCGUGUGCUAGUGAAAGAGAGCAGUAGCAAUAACAACAGCAUAGCGUAGUCCAAAUCAAUGUUAGUGCAUUUGCUGGAUGGCAUACUGUGAUCCAAUUUGAAGUACAUCUGUACAUGGAACAUAGAAGUUGGCAGGCCAUACUUCAAUAGUGAUUGCUCCUCAGAUAUUGAUAUCUUCUUUUGUGUUCUGAGCUUACUAUUUUAUUACCAUCAUCAUAAAUAACUUAUUUGCAGAAAUGUCUUUUGUCAGUAAAGCAUUGUCUUGCCAACAGUACAUGGUGGCAAUUUUUUAUAUUUAAUUGCUACAAUAUAUCUUGUUGUUUGGUGAUGUGAUGCUGGUUGUGUUACUUGCAGUUCCACACCGGUGAUGAGGCGAGGCACUUGUCCUGGUGUACAUUAAAGAAUCAGAAUAUUAGAUUUCUUUUUGAGAAUGUACCGUGCACGUAUCUUAUUAAGGACACACUAAACCUCCAUAGUCCAUAAUGUUUGUCAUCCACAACAUACUCCAAGGACAACUCCACUGGAUCUGACCUAAGGUUUGUUGUGCCACCGCGGCAUUUGGCAGCAAGAAGGUGGCUUCAAUGAAGUUCUGUUUGGCCCAACUUUCUACCUUAAAGUUGGAACAGUGUGGUGCAACCACAGCUCUUGCCUCUUGGCAGCAAGACGGUGGCGUCAACAAAGUCCUAUUUGACCCAACUUCUUGUCUCCAUGCUUCAGGGUGGAACAUCAACGAUCCACAUACCUACCAGGCUACCACCUUUAAAUAUGAGAGAGAGGUGAUGUGCCAGAACCCCAGUCCAAUUUCUAUCCAACGCCUGAAUUCGUUCAACUUAUCAUUGCAAAUUGCCUGUAACAUGUACUGUUUUCAAGCAUCUGGUUUUGAAGUUUGAACUGCUGUAUGAUUUAGUUAGAUUAACAGAAAUCCUCAACCAGCAGUUGCCUGAAACCUUUCUGAUAAUUCAAUUUGUCCUGCAGUUGAUGUGUUUUGCCUUAUGAUCAGUGCUUGUUGCUGUGGGGCACUUUUUUUCUGCAUCCGUCAGUUGGGAGAGUGGUAACUGAAAGGUAAUUUGUUUUAAGUUACCUGAUGAGGAUUGGAGAGUCACCCCCUUAUAUAGACUCUUAAGUUGCAGGUGUGAAAUUUUAAAUCUAAUUUCAUCAUUGGGUCUCAUGAUUUGUGGCAAUAUGGUCCUCAUUUGCAGAUCGCAGCAUGAUAUAUCAGAAUUGUUGGGGUGAAGACUCUAAUUUUGUUCUUUGCUGUCAGAAUAAUAACCUUGAAUAUAUACUGCACAUGUUCCCCUAAUUGAAAGCAUAUUCUCUGUUGAAUAUGAUAUUGUAGCCAGCCCAUACACACAACGCAACAGCCAAACUGGAGUUCCAGUAAUCCGCUACGUCGAAGAACUGUUCACCUCAAGGAAUUUGGGCAAUCCAGUCAGAUGGUCCGCUGUGAGCUGGGCUCCAAACACUCAAUCCUGGUUUCGCCGUUUGCAAGUUGUAACCAAAAUGACAUCCUUCUCUGUAGUUGUUUCUGAUGGGUAGUUGCGUAAACAAUUUGCAAGUUUGGACUCGAAUUUCAUGUGUGUGACUAUAUCCAUCGAUGAUGAGGAAAUAUAUCUACUGGCUGAGAUUGCAAAAAUUUCUAGAUAUAUGCUGCUUCAUGUGUGCUCACCUAAGAUAAUCUGCCUUUGAAAACGUAGGGUAGGCACAGGCACCUUGCAACAGGGCGAUGGGCCCAAUCUCAUCUUUCGAGUGACAUUUCAGUAAUUCGAUGAACAUGGCUUCAAUAUCUCACAGUAUCUUGCCGAUUUCAAAUCGAAUUUGCCAGCCGUCAGCUAGCGUCAAACUGUUAUACAGAGAACUUGUAUAUGAAUGAAUCAUCUUUGAUUCGUCCAUGAUGUCGCAGCACUAUAAACAAACUCAUGAGUGAUGAUCUCACAUUUGAAAGUUUUCAUAUCCUAACUAGUUCUGAGCUUAAUGCAAACUUAAGCGAUGACUAACAACAUCCUGAACACCCCAGAUGCUGAAAAACUGCCUCUAGUGACAUGUUCCUGCACUAUGCAAGGAUUCAUCGGACGACCCGGACGGCCUCUCCACCGCCGCGGUGGCCGUGCUGUAGGCGCGCUUCUUCUCCGCCCGCACCAUGCUUGCCAGUUGCCACCGGCGGCGAGGUACCACCGUACCAGUGCCACCGGCGGCGAGGUACCACCGGGCGGCAGAUCCAGGAGGAGGAGAAGCCGAGCCGAGCCGAAUUCCGCCGGGCCGACGAUGGCCCACACCCACCCACAACAUGAGAUGAGAAGGACAAGGCCCACACCCACCCACAACAUGAGAUGAGAAGGACAAGGACAGCGCUAUGUUUGCAGAGCAGUAGCGUUCGACGAAGCCGCGGUCUCUCAGGAUGGAGCGAGCAGCCACCAUCGUGGUUGCGGCAGGAACACCGUGCUCCGGGAGGAGACGGAGGGGGUGCUCGUGUGGCUCACUACGAACCGAGCUUCCAUUCCCGGCCAGCGCGUGGAGCUUGAGACCUCGCGUGGUCGGAUUUCUUGCCGAAUCGGGCGCGCCUCAUCUCUGAUUCUUGCAAACUGCAGGGGUUAGGGGGACCGGAGAGCCGGUUCUCGUGCAUGAGAGGGUAGCGGGUGGCAUGGAGCUUUGCGCUACCGGCAGGAAAGGAUGCUGGAAGGACGGCGGCAGCGGCCGUCGGCAGCCGAGCCGAUCCAAAACAGGGUCAGGAGCCCUUUUGCAAAUAUUCGUAUCGCGAUCCAAAUUAGGAGGCUAUUUGUAAAAAACAGGGGGAAUAUGCAAAUAAUCGGAUCGCGAUCCAAAUAAGGGGGGCAUUUGUACAUUACGGGGGUCAAUAUGCAAAUAAUCGGAUCGCGAUUAUUAAUCGCGAUCCAAACCAGGGGGCUUCAUGCAAAAUUUGGCGCCGGCGUCAUGGCGGCCGGCGACGUCGCGUUGCCGCCGGUGAACUCCGCUUGCGACGUUGCGCGUGUGCCGCGCGAACCUCCGGAGGAUCCGCGUCCCUGCCUAUGGAUCCCGUCGCGCGCCGCCGCCGCUCACGGCCCUAGCUCCUGGAGAUGCUGCAAGCGGUCGCGGGUGUGUCAGAGCGCGCGCCGCGCGGCGCCCAGUGACGCGGAUGGCGCAAGCAAAGCAGCGACGGCGUUGAAGGUUUCCUUGGCUACGCUACCCCCGUUGGCUGCUCAUGAGCUGAAGGUCCCGUUCGUGCCUGCUCCAACGUUUCCAUCCUCGGCAUCGCUGUGCCGUGCGCCGAGCUGGAGUGCUUCGUCAAGGGCUCAAGGCACCUCCUCUGUCCUCUCUCUCGGCCUCGUCUUCUCUCCCUCCUCUGGUUUGUAGAUUAGUCACUGCUGCGCCCUGCAUUCUUCUCCGAAUUGCAGAGCUGAUUGAACUUCUGGUGCGAUUUAAUCCAAUGUUUAGUUUGCUUGUACGGAGUAUUUGCAUGUUCUAACAGUGACGGUCAUGUCUUGUUGCCUUGCCUUCCUGCAGCAGCGGCAGCGUAUGGAGGACGAGGUGGCGGUCAAGCUGAGGAGGUUGGAGCGCCACCGCGCCGCGGCGUUGGCGAGCCACGCGCUCGCUCCUCUUUCCGCAUGGAGGAUCACCUCUCGUUUCUCCUUCCCUGCCGCUUCUUCUCCGUCCAGUUGGGUUGAGGAAUCAUAAGAGCUGAUGAAGCGUGCACUGAGCUUUCCUUUGGAGCAAGGAGCUUUCCAUUUUUUAGUAUGUUACUCCUUAAUUCCUUUGUAAACCUGCGCAUUGAUUAAUCAAGUGUGCUUCUACAUGUUGUUAUCUUUGAUUGGUUUGUUUUUUUAUUAUUCAAUUCCCCCCUCUUCCCGUUUCUUCUAAACAACCGGCAAGAUCAAACUUCUGUAAAACAAUGACUGCGGUUGCAGACCACACCUGUAGGCUACAGUCUGAAUGUCACCAGAAAGAAGCAGCGGGUCCGCAAAUGUGCCCAGCAACCACACAAUCUCUGAUCACCUUACCCAAUUUAUCCUUGGCUUUCCAUGCAAAUGGUUUAGUUUUUUCAAAGCAAACUAUGAUGUAGUUUUUCUUGACCACAUUCAUCAUGCUCCCUGGAAUUUAUUGAAGUUAAGACUUUCUGGAGUCUGGUUUCCAGCCUAGCUGAGUUUGGAGGAAGAAAUUUGUUGUACUGUUGUUUUCCAUUUGUUUGGCGAUACUGGUGCGUUCCUUUUAUCCUCGACGUGUUGGCCUCGUCUGCGGCGAUUUGAUUGUAUCGACUUCAGCAUCGACCUUCUACUUCUACAAUUGGAUCGACACGUCACCAUCCUCGUCUCCGGACCACCCUCGUGGUGCCUCCUCGUGCGCCCGCAGCUUCACGUGCGGCUCCAUCGUCUUCAGCAACCUCGACAGCUACGUCUUGACCACGGCUAUCCUACGCACGACAUCCUCAACCAUAGCUAUUCGUCCUCAUCCCCAGCUACCUCAACAUCGGUAUAAAGUAUAUCGUAAGCAUGAGUUACGUGCUAGUUUUCUCUUCACUCGUAGCAUCUGCACCGCAUCGAUAUUAUAAUUGUGGCAGGAUGUCAAUUUGUUGGCUUCUAUUUUUAGCUUCUUCUUCCAUCUCACCGUCUGCGGUGCUCCCGACUGCGGGGGAUGUUAGAAUAUGUUUGGUAGUUGUAGAUAUAACUAUUGUAGACUACCUUAUGUAUCCGGAGGAGUCUUGCCCUCCAAAUCUUGUACUCAAUAUAUACCGGUCAAGAAGUUCAAUGCAAUACAAUCCAUCCAUUAUACACAAUCUAUUUGUCAUACAGUGUUGGCGCAUGUAUUAUACGGUACCACUCCAAAACAGCUCAUGUAUUAUACGCAAGUCAGCGUGAGCCGUGAGGUUUCCUGUCGUGUAUGGAUGAUCUCCAUCACCUCAAGGCGGUCCUACAUGAGUGGGUUCUGCUGUUACCAGCCGCAGAGAAGGGAGCAUCGGUUGAGCGUGUCACCGUAGAGCUGAAGAUGACAAUAAUAAAAGAGCGUUCGUUCAUAUGACACGUACAGUACGCACAUCAUAUAUACCUCGAGCGUUUUGCAAAGCCAUCGAUGUCCGUCCGGUCUGAAUUAUGUCCAAGAAACAUGAUUCUACUGUCCUGAAUUCUAUGUCUAAUCAGAAAUAAACGCCACAAACUCAGUCGCUCGUUACUGGUGGCUGGUCGUAGCACUUGAAAAUUCUGGGCUUUUGGUUAAAACUAACCCGUACUUGGCAUGAUGAUUUGCUGGGUUCCAUGGCUUCUCUUUCAACAUCAUAUAAGCUGUCCUUUAAUUUGUUUGGGCCAACACGUGCAUGCACUACCGUUGUAAUCAUGUAUCGCGACAUCUUCUCUCGGCUCUGCCCUUAAUAAAACACCAAAAGAGCUCCGCAAGAUAAUGCAGAUUCUUUCGCGAUCAUGUUUCCAUCUUUAUUUUUAAAGCCGGCCGGGGUACGUGCGAGCAAAGGAAAGAGGAGCUUUGGAAAGUUCAUUGACGUUGGAAAUCUGUAGCUUGAGCUAGUAAACACUUGUGUUGCACACACCUAGGUUGGAUAGCCGAAAGCAAAAGCUGAGCUCAUUCGGCGCGCCAGAUACUAAACCAGCAAGAAUUAAGCUAAAAGAAGAAGAAGAAGAAGAAGAGAGACUGACACAGGAACCAGCAAGCCAGAUACUAAACACAACAGCAAGAACAGCAAGAACUACGAGUGCUGUGAACAUAGGAUGCGUGCACCUAGCGCCCGAAUCCAUACCCCACCGCAUCUUCCUGCUGUGUUUUUGUUUGUGCCAACACGAGGCCGUUUGAUUCCAGCUGCCUCCGGCGUGUACUUUUCCGUUGCCCUUUCGGCCGCACACGCCGCCCUGACCAGCGCAUUCAAACGUCAGGGGGGGGCCUGAGCUGUCGCGCUGCAUUAUUGGAAAAAUGCUCGCGAUCGAUCCUUUGGAGCCCGAUCGAACUGCCCAACUAAUGGCCACUCGAAUUGAAUUCGUCGUCGUCUAUGGUUAUCGUCAUCGUCAGGUUGAUGCUAGUGUUUCAGUUGAGAUUUGUUUAUUUUGCGUAUUGAUAUCCCGGAUGAUCCGUCGCUACACGUCGAGCCUGAUGGCGACUGAGCAAGGAUAUAGCAGCGCGCGUCGUGUGCACGGCACGGCCUGUUGACCCAACGGUGGUUUUCAUUAGGUUUCGGAGUUUUUUUGUCGGAAAUCUGUGCCUAAUUAUCAGAUGGAUCGCGAUUUCCUCCUGAUCGCCGUUGUACUUUCGAGUUUGGACUUGGCUUGAUGUUUUCAACCGUGGAACAAUGCGUGAUCCAGUGGCAACGAUCAGGAACGACCCUGCAGGCAAGUGACUGCGCUUAGCCGGGCGCUGAUGUGCUCAGAGCAUCUCUGACUCUCUGUCCCUCCGUCGGUCCCUCCGACUCCGAGCACGGUGUCUGUCUGACUGUCUGGACACGGAACUUGCAGGUUGCCGCGCAUCGUCUUUGCUCUUGCCUCUUGCUACCUGGGCAAAUGGAGAAUCUUUCGGCAUCCCGGCAAAUCAUAAACUAUGUUGUCUCUUCCAUGUCGUUGGUUUCUUCGAAACAGUGCGAGUACUAUAAAAGAGACUAUUUUUGUCCAACAUGGCACACAUGCACGCGUGCUCACAGUAUCGGGCGACGAUGAACAACCACGCAGCACAUCCAUCUCGUCAUCAGAAACACUCCUCCUUAAACAAUCUACUUAACAGUUAACAUGCCUUACCUGCUACUGUACUACCUGGCGAUAUUCAUAUUCUUAUGGACUCGUGCAGAGGUUUCGUGAAGCUCACCGUGCGCACUAAGAAAAGUGUCCAAUGCCUUACUCUUAGGCGAAUAUAGGAAUUAAAGUUUAAGUACAUGCCACGUCGAAUGUUUAGAUAAUAAUUAGGAGUAUUAAAUAUAGGUUAAUUACAAAAUUAAUUGUGUAAAUGAAAGCUAAUUCGUGAGAUAAAUCUAUUAAACCUAAUCAGUCUAUGAUUUGACCAUAUGUUGCUACAAUAAAUAUGUGCUAAUUAUGGAUUAAUUAGGCUUAAUAGAUUCGUCUUGUAAAUAGCCAAUAAACCACUAGUUCACAUUUAGAAUUAGUAUAUAAAUAUUCGAUGUGACCCAAACUAAAAAUUAGUCAUGCAUCCCAAUACCUCCUUAAAAAACCAUCGUCAUCGUGAUCGAGAACCUAAAUCCGUCAUAUCCAAUGCAUUCAGACAUCUCCUAUCGGCCGACCCACGAUACGCAGUUGCUGAAGAUGUUGCCGCUCCUAUUUGCUGAACCUGAACGCCUGCCGUUUGAGAACGCCGACGCGCAGGGCUACGAACAAGCAAAGCUGGAGAGUUUGGCUGGGUCAAACGCACAGAGCGCCUCCAUCCACCAGUAGUGCCGCCACGUUGCUCCCAGUUCCAGUUCCAGAUCCUGAGGUGGCGGCGGCACCGGAGCCGGAGGGAGUCCUCCGAUCCAUCCAACCAACGGCUCCCGUAUGAAUGUCUCUGAUCCGGUCGUCUCCGGGGCGCCAAAUAAACAAGUGCGGGUCCACGUUGCCGUGCCGAUUUCCUCUCCGAUGCCUUUCUUCCCUCCCGCUCCCGUGCGUGGUUGCGUCGCGGAUCCGGAAAAACAACAAGAAAAAAGAAGAAAAGAGCAGAUCCAUCGCCGUCGGUCCUCAAGCCCGCGACGCGACGGCGACCGACCAGGCCUCGCCGGCUCGCCGUCCGCCUGACGCCAGGCCGGCCGGUCCCCCGGAAAACGACCGGGGAGUCGAAACCCACCGCUACCCCCACCGCAGAAAGCCAGGAACCGAAGGAACGAAACGAACUGGUCCUGCUACUGCACACUGCGUAGUGCGUACAACGACUAGCGCACGUACUGUUCGGAAUUUUGCUGACGCAGGCAGCCGUCGCCGUCGCCGCUGCCGCUGCCGCUGCGUAAUCUCGGAAGAACUCACUAACCUUUCAAAAAAGGGCACCGUAAUUACAUCCUUGUCAGCGAGAGCCGUGGCCGGUGGCCCUGCUCGUACUCCGACCGAGGCCUACGGCAACAAGCUCUGCCGAGCCGCCGGUCUGAUUACUCCAACGGAAUCCGGUGCUACGGCGUCAUCCCAACGUUCACAUUUUUCGUUUAGGGCUGCUUAAUCACGGUCAUUAGGGCCCACUAAUGCGAAUUACUCCAGCCUUUUUCUUUUUCGGUUUCGCGAUAUUUCUCGGCUUCCAAGUCGCGCUUCCCCUCUAUUAGUCCAUCCGCGUUCCACCAAACGGGCCCCUUUCCCCCUCUUCUCCCUCCCCUCCUCCCCUUCGUCCUCUCUGUUCUUGUUAAUAGCGCUCGUAAUCCCGUCACUAUCGCUAGUCCCCCCGCCCCACAUCCUCUCCCUGUAAAGAUUUCGUUCUUUCAUCCUUUUGGAUUUCCGAUCCCGUUCUCGGUCCCCGUUUUGAUUUUGCUUGUGAAAAAAAAUCUCGUCUUUGUUGCAAUCUGCAGUAGUAGCGGGGAGGGAGGAGGGAGUUUGUGCAGAGUUUGUUUUCCCUCUUUUUUUGUUCUUUUUUGAUCCGGAAGCGGAGUUCUUGUAGUGGUUACUUGCCACUAAAUAAUCGCGCUUGGAUUGCGUUCUCCGGCUCCGCUCCAAUCCAAUUUGUGUCGCUGGAGGAGGGAUUCGGGGGCGGAAGGCACUGUUCUGUGCUUCCUUGGAUUCCACGGCAAAGCCCGGCUGCGAGGUUGGCGUCCCUCUCGGUCGCAUUCCGCCGGUUGCCAAGGGGCCGGGCUGCGGGAAGAUGGUGUCGCAGGCGCCCAUGGCGGGGGCCAACCUCACGGCGGCGCUGUGCAAGAAGAGCAACCGCGUCGCGCGGGUGCUCGCGUACGCGCUGCUGGAGUGGAUCCUCAUCGCGUUGCUCCUCGCCAACGGCGUCUUCUCGUACCUCAUCUCCAGGUUCGCCGCCUUCUUCGGCCUCGCGCCGCCCUGCGCGCUCUGCUCCCGCCUCGGCGUCGACAGCCUCUUCGAGCGCCACGCGCACCGUGGCGUCGGCGGCGCCGAGCCUCUGCGCCGCGUGCUGUGCGACGCGCACGCCGCCGAGCUGUCGUGCCUCGGCUACUGCAGCGCGCACCGCCGGCUCGCGGACGCCGGGGACAUGUGCGAGGACUGCGCCGCGGCCGCGGCGCCCGGGAAGGCGCUGCUCUCGUGGAUGGGCCGGAGCGAGCUCGGCGAGCGGGACCUCGCCUGCGCCUGCUGCGGCGUCGCGCUCGAGAGCGGCUUCUACUCGCCGCCCUUCUUGCUCCCCACGCCGGCGAAGGGUGGCACAGAUUGCGGCAACAAGGAAGAGGAAGAGGCGGCGAGGCUAAAUGGAGACGUUGUCUUUGUGUCCGAGGAAGGCCCUGUGAUCGAGCUCUUUGACGAGAAACCAUUGCUGGGGGAUGACUCAAUCAGUGUCUUGGCUCACGGUCCUGAGAUUGUUGCCAAUGUCGAGCGUCUGGUGCCUCUUGAAUCCAUUGACUCAUUGGCUGUGGACAUGGGUGCAGUGUCAUCCCAAUCUGGUGUUGAGAAGAAGGAAGCGGUUGAUCAUGUAAGGCAGGACAACGUGGUCAUGGAGAACAUGGUUAAUGCCAAUGAGGAGAAAAUUGUGAUGACAAAUGAUGAUGACAAGGGGGAUGGUGUGGUUGAUCGGCUGAUUGAUGAGCAGAUUGCUGACGUAGCCCUUGUGCCAGCUUGUAUGGAAGGUACGUUUGAUGAUGUGAUAAAUGCAGGCAAAACUGUUGAGGGCUUUGCUGAGCAGUGUAAGUCAUUCCCUCUCUGAUAAAUUAUCUUUUCCGCAAGUCAUUAUCUUUUGCCGUUCCAGUCUAACAAUGAUGUGGCUGUGGGCAUGAAUGUGAGCUUUUUCAAUGGCUUCAUUGCAUAUGUAUUAAUCGUGCUUGUGUUCAUUACCACAUUUAUAUUUGUUUUGCUAGUCAUCUAAGUAAUGAAUUAGAAUGUAGUUUUCUCUACUUAAUGGAAUGUGGUUCUGCUUGGGUGUUCAUUGAGCUGUGCUAUUGUACUCAUUUAAUUAUACUAGAUUUUAGAUAGCACUGUUAUAUCAACUGCACUUUUGCUGUCAUAUUUGAUCUGGUGAACCUAUAGUCAAAGAGAAAAAAAGAAGUAACCUAAGAAACUUAAAAGGAUGAAAUGGACCUCUUAACAAAAAUAGAAGGCAACCCAUGUCAUUUACUGUCCUUGAAGUUGUUCCGUGCUGAUGUUUUUCCCUGUUUCAAGUUACUAAGCCAUCCGCCUUGUUUUCAAAAUAUUAAAUGCAGCUCCUGAGGAGGACAGUGGAUUGAAAGAUAAGGAUAUGGAAAUAUCAGUUGAGGAUGAGAUAUCUGAGGAUGAUCAAGUUAAAAAGGUGUAUACUAUGCUAAGUGACACCAGUGACCAUGAAUUUGUUGAGAAGUUAGACAGAAGUAUCGAGGUGGAGCAUUUUCAACAGGCUGAGUUAAAGCAAAAAUUGAACUUGAUGACAAUGGUAGCUUCUGCGUAUGUCGCUGUAACUCAGCCUGAGGAGAAGCAGGUUCACCAAGCUGAGGUGAAUCAGGAGUUGGGUUCAAUACCAAUACAGCCAAGGGAGCAUUCUGGUGAAGAACUUGAAGGAGAGAGAGCUGCACAGGCUGGGCUGGAACAAGAGUGUGACUCUAUGCCAAUUGAUUCUGGGGAACAUGCUUGCAUGACUUCAUAUGCUUGUACUGAUGAUGAGCAGGUUGAGAUGAAGCAGAAAGUCACUUUAGCUGCAGCAGAUGUUCCGGAGUUUCCAGCAGACACUUUUAAUGAUGACACAAACGCAUGGAAAGGUAAGAUGCUGAGAUCUUAAGAAUCCUUUGUUUAUUUCCACCAGUUUAGUGCAUUGUGAUUGUGUAAAUUUUUAAAUUGAUUCUUAAAUGUUGAACAGAAGAUAUUGAAGAGGAUCCAACUGAAGCUGCUCUAACAAGCAUACACGAACCUUUGACAAGCUUAGACAAGUUCUCUCCCAAUCAUACUGUUACCGAAGAAGAGAGAGACCCUGAGACGCCAACUCGUAUUGAAGGUAUAUGUGAUUCACAGGAAUUGUUGGAUUCUAAAGCAGCUGUUUCUGAUGCUAAAUCCGUAGAUUCAAGUGUUGCUACUAUGACUACUGAUCUGGAAAGCACUGAAUUCGUUAGUGUCGAUCAACUAAAAUCUGCCUUGGCAUCUGCACGCAAGUCAUUGAACAGCCUAUAUGCUGAACUUGAAAAUGAGAGGAACGCUGCUGCUAUAGCUGCUGAUGAAACCAUGGCAAUGAUAAACCGCUUGCAAGAACAGAAAGCUGCAAUGCAGAUGGAGGCGAUCCAGUACCAGCGGCUUAUGGAGGAACAGUCAGAGUAUGAUCAAGAAGCACUGCAGAGGCUGAAUGAACUAGUUGUAAAGAGAGAGAAGGAGAAGCAAGAUCUGGAAAGAGAACUCGAGCUGUAUCGCCACAAGGUUCAUCUCUAUGAGGCAAAGGUGAGAAAAAUGUCCAGGCACAAGGCUGAUGACCAGAAUGGGUCAUCGUCAGCUUCAUCAAGUGCUGAGGACAGUGAUGACCUUUCGCAAAGUUUCUAUGAAGGCGAUGAAUCUGCCCAUGGUCUUAAUGGAAGCAAUGGGAGUAUUCCUACAGAUGUUGUUCUACAAGAAACUGCCAGGCAUCUGGUUACCCUUGAUGGCUCACUAGCUGAUUUUGAGGAAGAGAGACUCUCCAUUCUGGAACAACUUAAAGUGCUAGAGGAUAAACUUUUUGACCUUGAUGAUGAAGAAUCCGAUAACAUGAAGACAGACAAGCAUUUCUCAGAAGAACACCAUUUAAGCGGUGCCUCAAAUGGUUUCUCUGAUGAUGAAAGCUGCUUUAAACUUCAUGACAAAAGAAAAAGUGUAACAUGUAGAGGAAAGAAGCUUCUGCCACUGUUUGACGACGCUACUGUGGGAGCUAGAAAUAUCGUUCUAACUAAGCAAGGUGAUGAGGCAGAUCAUUCAACAGAAGUCACAUUGGACCUUGCUCGAGAGCAAGAUAAACUUGCAAUCGCCCAUGAGAUUGAUCAAGUCCAUGAAAGGCUGCAUGCUCUUGAGGCAGAUAGGGAAUAUAUAAAACAGUGUGUGAGAUCUUUGAAAAAGGGAGGCAAAGGGUUUGAUCUUCUUCAGGAGAUCUUACAGCAUCUUCGAGACCUGAGAAGGAUUGAGCAACGUGCAAGGAACUCUGGGGAGCUUUCACCCCACUAUCUGCAUCUUUACACGGACUAAAGGUAACAUGCUACAUUUAGUAUUGAUGAUCUGCUGAAUUUUUAUUUUCAACAUGAAGAUGGUGGCGCAAUCAUUGUUCUUUAAAUUCUAAGAAAAUCAGUUCAAUGUUAAUCCAUUACAUACACGACGAAUAAACAAAAUUCUAGUUUCUUAAAGUAGCUAUGCACCCCAAAUGUCCGUAGCACAUUACUAAAUUUUGUGCCAAACUUUUGUGCCUAACUAUACCACAUUCUACCCUGAUUUGGUUCUAUCAGAACCCUAAUUCUUGCUUGUUGGUUCCAGAUCAGCUGCAGGCCCUGUGCUCAUGUCCGACCGACCAAUAUAGCUCGAAGACGGAAAGCAUACAACACGGUAAGAAAAAAAGGGAUUGCCGACUAACUAGUAUUGUCAUUGGAGAAAUUUGGUUCAUUCCCGGAGAGAAAGGAGCUCCUCCAGGAAACACCAUCACAGUUGGUUCAGCGACGCCAUCCGGAAGGCAGAUCAUGGAGCAAUCCUGCCUUCCAAGGUCCAGGGUUUUUUGUGGACCACUUUGCACGUUCUCUCUUUGUUUUUGUUGGUUUAAGUUUUCCAGGGUAGGGGGGGCUUCCAAACUUUUGCCUAUGGGCAAGAGGUUGGUUGGUGAGCCGCCCUGGGCCAUGGGGUGUGUUUGUGGGGUUGUGGCGGCAAUCAUGGCCUUGUGCAAGCUUUGGAAUUCAUUCAUUAGCACGAAAACAUGCCGCUGGCAGCUUUGCUGCCAGGUAUAGAGUGAGUAUAAAAAGAGGUAGUCCCAGCGGGCUUCACUAGUUUUUGUUUCUUUUUUUCCGUCUAAAUUCUUUUCCUGUAAAUCCUCUAGCUGUAUGUAAUGCGCUUUCGGCUUAUGGAAUGGUGACGAGGUGUUGGGUGUGUGUGCAGAGCAUAAUUGCUGUUUGAUGAGAGCAUAGCUGUGCGCCUGUGCCGGCGGCCUUUUCCGUUCGUUUCUUUUCUCCUUUAUUGUGCACAUACAAAACUAGUAGCCCUUUUGAUGCAAGUGCUACUUGGUUAAUUAAACCCUGAAAGCAACCGGCGUCAUGCGCUGAUGCAUGAUUGGUUUAGCUGUCAAGGAUCAUGAGAUGGAUGACGAGUUGGCCGCUGGCCAGGGGCAUGGAUGCAGCUCACCGAACAGUCUGUUGGGUGGGGUGGACCUGCCCUACCAUGUUCUGAUGCUGCUCACCAAUGCUGCAUGACCUUGUUGGUCCUGUGCAAUACCUUCUCUGUUCCGGUACUGGUGCUACGAGGCUGUCAGCUGUCAGCAACAGCUUCCGGCUUUAAUCGAAGCUCUGUUAGGUUUCCUCAUCUUCCUAUAGCUAGCUUUGGCUGGUCCGGACAGUGCGGGAUGGUUCUGUCCGUAGCCGUACAGCUUUGGCCAAGGGCCGAGCGAGGCUAUACAUGGCCAACCGGACGGCACGGCGCAACACGGCACUAUGCGGCACGGUGGUCAUGCCGUGUAGUACCUUCGUGCCGACAUCUCGACCCUGGCACGGUCCUAUGGGCGGUUAGCCGUGCCGUGCUGUCGAGCACGGUAGCCCGACGUGCCCGCGCCGACCUGAGGUCGCGCCACCCGCUCCGUCGCCGCUGUCGCCGCUCCGCCGCCACUGCCGUCGUUGCCUGCGCGCGCCUCGGGGGGCCGUGCCGCCGCCGCCUGCGCGCGCGUGGGAGACGGGGAAGAGAAUAGAGAGUGAGGAACUAGGGUUUCCACAAUUAUAUAUGACUCGAUGCGAAUCUAACGACUCUGGUUUAGUUAGGAGAUCCAACGACUAAUAUUUAUCGGGCCAGCAUAGUGCCGGCCCAUUAAGCGUGUCGUGCCCGUGUCGGCACUGCGGGCUGAAUAGGCGGUCCAGGCCCGGCACUAACGUCGUGCCGUGCCUCGCACUAGAUGGCUCACGGGCCGAGCCGUUGCCGGACCGUGCUUCUUCGUGUCGUGCUCGAGCCGGCCAUCGUGUUAGUGCCAAAUGGAAAUUUAUAAGCGAGGCUGUGUGUGACCUGCGACUGCGAGAUGCAUCGCAUCCAGUGGAGUGAAGUGAAGGCGCGAGGGCGAUGCUUGCAGCUUUGCUUUACCUCUAAGCAUGGAUCCGGGCAGAGGUGAGGUGUUCAUCUGUUACUAUUAGGAUGUGACAGACUGACAGGGUGCCCGUGAUUGUUCCCGUCUCCGAUCCUGCGAGAGUUGUACUACGGCACGUGGUGUGUGCGAUGGGAUUAUGGGAAGGUAUGGAACACGUGCAGUUAGUAGUUAAGCUUACUUCAUUAGUUUCAGGAGAUCAUCAAUCGUUUCUUUAUUCUGCCAGGAAAGAUUGUUCUUGGCGUUGAUGGAUUGGCUAUUGGUACAGACUACAGUACCACGGUUAUGCUAGAAACUGGCUACUCUAGUCUAGUCCUAGUCAUGUUUGGCAUCUGCUGAGACAAAAACAUGGAUGAAUUCUUUAACUUUGAGCGACAUCUUUGUCAAAGUCUAUGUCUAUAUGACCCGUGAGCUAAGAGACUACCUGCCACCAUCUCCCCCGUCCUCCCAAGCUCAACGGCCGACCGGCCCUAUCUUUGUGACGCGAGAUCCUUCUUCCAUAGCAUGGCGUGCGGCGACUCGUGCAGCGAGUCGCUGCGGCACAAGCAGGCUUUCCAUUUUCUUCCGUGGCUGGCUGCGGGGAUCCUAUCUAUAUCUUGUGGGAGAUAGAGAUAGGGGAGAAAUCUUCUAGCCCACCUCCAACCCAUUAAUCUCUUCUCCCAUUCUUCCCCGGCGACUCCCAAACUCCCGCCGCCUCCUCCACCACCCCAGCCAGCGGCUGCCGCGCCACCCGUCCACCCACCAUUGUGUUAGCACCAAGUGUAGCAAGGACUAGGAUCAGAGGCAAGCAGCAAGGGAAGGAAGCAAGAUAGAUGGAUACAGCACCAGAGGUCUGUUGCCUUGAGAAAGAAGAAGAACAGAGUAUGUUGUUUACCAAAAUUGUCCUCCUUCUUCCCUCCUCUCCAAGCUAAUAAGUACUUUGUCUAAAAGCUAUUACAUGGGCUGGGCCCGAUAAGCGAAGGAGAUGCUACGCAGACCAUUCUGGACCGAAGACUCUUGGGUUAGCUUUCCUGGGCCUGGUGUUCCUGCUUGCCAUCGGUUCUUCCUCCUCUGCAUUACUGACAUUCCCCCUCCGAUAAGACGUCGCUUGACCCCAAGCAGGCACAAAAGGAUAAAGCUGCUGUAAAGCAAUAGCAUCCUCCUAAGUCGCCAUUUCCAGCGGCUAAUUGGACCAUUUCACCAACACCUGCUGCACUGGUUGGACACCCUUGGUGACUAGAUGAUGAUGUAGUAUCUUUCCAGACACACGAGGAGAGUCCACAUCAGAAGGCAUGACAGGAAUUACCUCAGUACCUUUAGUAACCGCUUGUUUCAGCUGGCUGACAUGGAAUACUGGAUGGACGGAAGAAGAAUCAGGUAGCAAUAACUUGUAAGCCACCUUGCCCACCUUAGCAAUGAUUUUGAAUGGACCAUAGUAUUUGAAAGCAAAUUUCUGAUUAGCUCGAGGGGCCAAUGAAGUCUGCACAUAUGGUUGCAUUUUCAAAAACAUCAUAUCUCCCACAGAAAUUGUCUCUCUGACCUAUUCUUAUCUUCUUAUCAUUUCAUCUGUAGACGAGAUCUGGUCAGGUGUUGCUUGAGCAGGGUAUUCAUAAGCUACCUGUCAUAUAACCAAGAUGAUAGUUUUGGAACAGAAACUGUAGUAGCAUCAUCAAUACCAAAAUGCUUAGGCUCAUAUCCAUAAAGAGCUUGAAAAGGAGAUCUCCCAAUAGCAGAAUGAUAGCAUGUGUUGUACCAAUACUCUGCUAAUAACAACCAUUGCGACCACUUGGAUGGACAUCAUUGACAAAGCAUCAUAGGUAUGUUUCCAUUAUUUGAUUCAAUCUUUCAGUUUGGCUGUUAGACUGCGGAUGAUAGGAGGAACUCAUCCGAAGAGUCACGUUAGCCAAACGAAAUAGCUCUUUCCACCAGAGACUUGUGAAAAUCCUAUCACGAUCAGUAACUAUUACCUUUGGCAUACCAUGCAACUUAUACACAUUCUCCAUGAACAACUUGGCCAUAGUAGCAGUAGUAAAGGGGUGAUGCAUUGGAAUAAAGUGGUCAUACUUGGUAAGGUAAUUCACUACCACCAAAACACAAUUUGUUGAGCCUGAAGAAGGAAGACCCUCCACGAAGUCCAUUGAAAUUAUCUGUCAAGCUUCAGCUGGCACUUCCAAAGGCUAAAGCAAUCUUGGAAGCUUACUUCUAUCUGGUUUUGCUUGCUGACAAACCACAUAAUGUUUGACAAAGUGAGUAAUAUUUGAUUUCAUUCCCUUCCAGGCAAACAAUUUCUUCAUUCUCAUGCGCGUCACUGGGUCUGAAUGUCCACCUAAUGCACUGCUAUGACAGGCUAACAGAAGUUUCUUUUGAAGACCAGGAUUGGCCCCAAUCUAUAUCCUUCCCUUGUAUCUCAUCAACCCAUUUUGCAGAGAAAAAUUGAGAACAGCCUCUGGAUCAAUAGCAAGUUUGGCCAGCAAUGAGAGGGCCCACUCAUCCUGCUGAUAUCCUGCAAUCACAUCUUGCAUCCAUUGUGGAGUAAGAGAAGAAAUUGUAGCACACACCAUCUCAUAAGCUAACUUUCUGGGCAGGGCAUCUGCCACUCUAUUCUCAACCCCUUCCUUGUACACUACUCUGUAUUGAAGGCCAAGGAGUUUAGAAAAGACUUUCUGUUGCCAAUGUGUGUGGAGCCUUUGUUCAGUGAGUUGUGUCAAACUUUUCUGAUCAAUGAAAAUGGUGAACUCAUUAUGCUGCGAGUAACAUCUCCACUGUUGUAUUGCCAUUAGCUUACAUUAGCAAAGCUUUGGGGCCUCAGUCACAAGGCUUAUCAACAUAUGAGAAGGAGUAUUUAGCUGCUGCAAGUAACAUCUCCACUGCUGUAUCACCAUCAAUAUAGCUAAAUACUCCUUCUCAUAUGUUGAUAAGCCUUGUGACUUAGGCCCCAAAGCUUUGCUAAUGUAAGCUAAUGGAUGACCAUCUUGCAUAAGCACAACCCCUAUCCUAGUACCACAAGCAUCAGUUUCAAUUGAAAAGGGUUUGGAGAAAUCUGGCAAUGCAAGUACACGUAUAGGAGCAGUACAUAGUGCUUUUUUAAGAGCUAGAAAGGAUUUGUCAUGUACAGAAGUCCAGACAAAUAUGACAUUUUUCUUAAGUAGUUCAGUUAAUGGUUUGCUAAUCACACCAUAGCCUUUACAAAUUUCCUGUAAUACCCUGCUAGUCAAAAAAACUUCUUAACUGUUUGGAAGAAGUAGGUGUUGGCCACUGAGAAAUACUAGAAACUUUUGUAGGAUCUGUCUCCACACCUUGUUCACUGAUUACAUGACCCAGAUAAGAAAUCUUUCUAUUUGCAAAAGAACAUUUAGACAAUUUAAUUUUCCACUAAUCUUUGUCCAAUAGCUCAAAUACCAUUCUGAUGUGAUUAACAUGUUCUUUAUACGAGGCAGUGUAUAUUAGAAUAUCAUCAAAAAAUAGUAGCACAAAUUUUCUUAAAUAAGGGGGUCAAAGUAGAAUUCAUUACUUCUUGGAAUGAACCAGGGGCACCUGUGAGGUCAAAAUCCAUAACUUUGAAUUCAAAUUGACCACAAUAUGUUUGCAAGGCUGUUUUGUAUUCUUCCCCUGGCUUCAUCCUAAUUUGGUGAAAUCCAGCCCAAAGAUCCAAACUAGUGAACCAAGAAACUCCAGCCAGCUCAUCUAGAAAUUCAUCAAUUAUGGGCACGGGGUACUUGCUCUUGAUUGUGAUAGCAUUAAGAUGUCUAUAAUCCAUACAAAACCUCCAAGCAUUAUCCUUCUUUUUGACCAGUAGCACUGAAGAUGAAAAUGGACUUGAGCUUUUCCGAAUCAGGCCAUUCUUCAACAUUUCUUUGAUCUGCUUCUUAAUUUCAUCCUCUAGAGCUGGAGCAUAUCUAUAAGGUCUCACUUGAACUGGAGUAGCACCUUCUAUUAGAGGUAUAUCAUGGUCACAAGCUCGUGGUGGAGGUAACUCUACAGAGACCUUAAAAAAUUCAGCAAAUUCCUGAAUAAGAUCUUAUAUUUCAGUUGGCAUAGACACCAUCACUUGAUUAUCUGUAACAAACACAUCAAUUGCAUAGACUUGGAUAAUUGUGCCCUCUAGGGUUGCAGGGAGAUUGCCAUACAGAAGAGCUGUAGAGUCCUUAUAAGGAAUGGGGCUGUGGAGUUCCAGCCAAUCCAUGCCAAGAAUCAUAUCAUAAGCAGACAAUUUGAGAAUUUUCAAGUCAAUAGAAAACUCAUAAUUUUCAACUGACCAUACUGCCUGUGGCAUUUGAUAUGAGCAAUUCAACUUCUCACCAUUAGCUACCUGCACUGUCAUAGAGAACUGCAUAGGAACAACUCCUAAUAACUCAGAUGCAAGAGUAUCACUGAGGAAUGAAUGAGAGCUACCAGAAUCAACUAAAACUUUCAUCUGAUGACCCUGAAUUCGACCAGAAAGACAGAGUGUCUUUGGAGAAGGAAUGCCAGUGACAGCAACCAAGGAAAUAGUGAGAAACAACUGAUCAUCACCAGUAUUGGAAUCCCUGACUGUUGAGUCAUCUUCCUCUUUCAGUUGAAAUAAUUCCAUCAAUUCCUGUACUACAUAUAACUGCACAGUAUCUGAACGUUUAUGGUCUUUAGACCAUUUUUCAGCACAAUACUAGCGUAACCCCUUUGAUCUUCUGAAAGUUUUCAAAGCACGCCACUUGUCUUCUGCUGAAGAGGCCCAAGUAGAUUCUGUCGACUUUCUGUCCUCAAAUGAGGAAUUCAUGUGUUUUGUUUUGCUUGAAUGGUUGAGGUGGAACAGGCAAAACGGACUUGAAGUAAGCCUUGCUGGAAUAAUUGGAGUCCAUCUUCUUGCAUUCCUUCUUUCGACCGGAAUCCAAUAACUCCUCCUGCAACUGAGCAAGAACAUAGGCAGUAUCCAAAUCGUGGGGGCAUUGAAUAAGCACAGAAGCUUUCAAUUCAUCUUUCAAACCAUCAAUAAAACGCAUGGUAUGAUGCAUAGGAUUAGCUUGACCUAAUCAAUUAAGCCAGCAUAUUUCUCAAUGUAUUUAGAGACAGAACCUAACUGCUUAAUGUUAAGAAGCUGCCUAACCAAGAGCUCAUGUUGGUCUCUACCAAAACGAUCUAACAACAAGGAAGAAAAUUCAGACCAAAGGCAGGAUUUAAGCUUGUGGUCUAUUGAUGGCAACCAAUGAGAAGCUGGUGGAACAAAAUGCAUCGUAACAACCAUUAUCCAACGAUGUUGCUCAACAUCAUAUAGCUCAAAGUAAUCAACAAAUCUACUAAGCCAGAGUUUAGGGUUGGUGCCAUCAAACGAUGGGAAAUUCAACUUAGGAAGCCUACGAGAACCUAAACCUGAAGGACUAGCAGAUCUGAAACGAUUACCAUUGCUAGGUAAAUGAGAAACCAUAGAUUUAGGUGGAGGAGUAGGAAGACGCAACGCACCCUUGAUCGAGGGAUAAAGCAAUGUUGUAACAGACCCCAUACCCAUCCUCCCGGUGGAAGUUGUUGACGCAGUGCCUUGGGCCUGUCGGCUUCACUCGAAGUAGGUGGGCGCUCGGCAGCCGAAGGUGUGAUCGACAAUAGAGGAGGCUGCCGAUCCAGAACCGCAUGCUCCCAGUGCUUGUUCAGCUUCCCAACCUCGAGGCGAAUGUCAUCGACGGUGCCGUCGAUGUCGGGUCUCCAAUCUUCGAAGGACGACGCCACGCGCUCCAACGCAUCCAGACACGCGUCCUGCGCGAUCUUAAGGUCCGCGAACUUGCGCUCCCACUUGUCGUCGGACUCGGAGAAGCGAUUGUCCCACUUCGACUCUAGCUCAUCGAAGUGCUUGGUGAAUUCAUCAAGUAUGAUCUUGGUUUCGGGAUUCAUCGCUCCGUGGCGGCGCUAAAACCAGAUAUAAUGAUCAUGGGAGAAACGUGAUCCAAAUCUGCAUGAACUAAUUCACCCGAGGAUCGGCUAGACUGAUAUCAAUUGUUAGCAGCAAGUGUAGCAAGGACUCGGAUCAAAGGCAGGAAGCAAGGGAAGGAAGCAAGAUAGAUGGAUACGGCACCAGAGGUCCGUUGCCUUAAGGAAGAAGAAGAACAGAGUAUGUUGUUUACCAAAAUUGUCCUCCUUCUCCCCUCCUCUCCAGGCUAAUAAGUACUUUGUCUAAAAGCUAUUACAUGGGCUGGGCCCGAUAAGUGAAGGAGAUGCUAUGCAAACCAUUCUGGGGCGAAGACUCCUGGGUUAGCUUUCCUGAACCUGGUGUUCCUGCUUGCCAUCGGUUCUUCCUCCUCUGCAUUACUGACACAUUGCCGCUGCCUUCUACCCCACCCUUCCUAAUCCGAUGCCACUCGUGACCCCCGCCGCCGGCCACCACCCACUGGGUGUCUAGCCCCGUCCGGUCAGCAGCACUCCUGCGCCGCCUUGCCCCCCCUCCCACUGGCCGAAGCGCCACCACCGCUGGGCCUGCCGCCGCUGCCAACCUCCUCCUCUUCUAAGGCCGAUGGUCAUUAGAACCCUCGAAACCCGGACCUCUAACCCUAAGUACCGCCGGUCUCGAUCACCACCUGCGCCUGGCGGCGACCAAGCCGCCGUGCUAGGGCGCCCACCUCCUGCCCCUCUAGCAAGCUUCCUCCCCCCGACCUUGUAUCUUGGCGGCGGCGUGCGUGCGAGAUGAGAGAGAGGCGGGGAGGCGACGGGAGGAAGAAGGAAGGAGAAAAAAUCGUGUGGUCGAGAAUAGCUGCACGAAUCUUAAAGAUUGGAAGGUCAAGGGCCUAUCCAUCUUCCGGAAGAUGGACAGGAUUUCCGCUGGCUGUGGACACAGCGUGGGCCGUGUACAGCGUUUUGCCGAAACUUUGACCCACACACAUCUCCAGCACAAAUUCAGGCCCACAUCUACGUCGGUGCCGCCCGCCAUCGAGCCGAUGACCAACACGGCCCAAUUUGGGAAAGUCGGUAACUUCAGCCCUGGCAACGCGGCCUUCGUUCUGUUCACCGAAUCUAUCGUCCGCCACACAGGCGCAAACCCUCCUUCCCCCUCGCCACAUCUGCCACGCCGCCGCCGCCAUGAAGCGCUCAGCCGACGCGAUGACGGAGCCGGCGAAGCCCGUGUUCCUCACCAAGGCUGAGCGGGAGCGCCUUGCGCUCGAGCGCCGCCAGGCCGCCGUCUCCGACCAGCGCCGCACCGCGCUCGACCUCCUCCAGUCCCUGCCCCGGCCCCCUCCGCCGCCGCCUCCGGGCGGCCCUCCCCCGUCCGGCUCCAACUCCGCUCCUCGUGAGUCCUCCAGCUCCCACCGAGACUCCUCCGACCGGGACCGGGACCGGGACCGGGACCGGGACCGCCGCCGCGACGACGACUCCCGCCGCGACCGAGAUCGGGAUCGGGAGCGCGACCGGGACGACUCCUCCCGCCGCGACAGGGACAGGGACAGGGACAGAGACCGAGACCGGCGCGACCGCGACCGGGACAGGGAUCGGGAGCGGGAGCGAGACCGGGACAGGGAGCGUGGAGACCGCGGGGACCGGGAGAGGGACCGGCAGGAGAAGAUGGCGGAGCGGGAGCGUGAGAAGGAGCUCGACGCGAUCAAGGAGCAGUACCUGGGGUCCAAGAAGCCCAAGAAGCGGGUCAUCAAGCCCUCGGAGAAGUUCCGCUUCUCCUUCGACUGGGAGAACACCGAGGACACCAGCCGUGACAUGAACACCCUCUACCAGUCGCCGCACGAGGCCCGGCUGCUCUUUGGGCGGGGCUUCCUUGCUGGCAUCGACCGCCGUGAGCAGAAGAAGGCGGCAGCCGCGCACGAGAAGGAGACCCGUGCGGAGCUGCGGCGCAAGGCUGGUGUGGAGGACCGCCCAGAGGAUGAUGUGGUGGAUAAGAAGAAGGCUGCUGCGGCUGAAAUGUAUGAUGCAUUUGACAUGCGUGUGGACAGGCACUGGUCUGAGAAGGUGCUUGAGGAGAUGACCGAGCGGGAUUGGCGUAUUUUCCGUGAGGACUUCAAUAUCUCCUACAAGGGUUCUCGCAUACCGCGUCCAAUGCGGAAGUGGAGUGAGAGCAAGCUUGGGACUGAGCUGCUUCGUGCCAUUGACAAGGCUGGCUAUGAAAAACCAUCACCAAUCCAGAUGGCUGCCAUUCCACUUGGUCUACAGCAGCGUGAUGUUAUUGGUAUUGCUGAGACAGGUUCUGGCAAGACUGCAGCUUUUGUACUCCCCAUGCUGUCGUACAUUACCCGACUGCCACCCAUAAGUGAGGAUAACGAGGCUGAGGGUCCUUAUGCUGUUGUCAUGGCACCUACUCGUGAGCUUGCUCAACAAAUUGAGGAAGAGACUGUGAAAUUUGCAACCUAUCUGGGCAUUAAAGUUGUAUCAAUUGUUGGUGGUCAGUCCAUUGAGGAGCAGGGUUUCAAGAUUAGGCAGGGCUGUGAGAUUGUAAUUGCAACACCUGGCCGGCUUCUUGAUUGCUUGGAAAGGAGGUAUGCUGUGCUCAACCAGUGCAAUUAUGUAGUGCUUGAUGAGGCUGAUAGGAUGAUUGAUAUGGGCUUUGAGCCACAAGUUGUUGGUGUCCUUGAUGCGAUGCCAUCAAGUAACUUGAAACCUGAGAAUGAGGAUGAGGAACUUGAUGAGAAGAGGAUCUACAGGACAACUUAUAUGUUUAGUGCCACCAUGCCACCUGCUGUAGAGCGUCUUGCUAGGAAGUAUCUCCGGAACCCAGUUGUGGUGACAAUCGGUACAGCUGGCAAGGCCACUGAUCUGAUCACCCAGAACGUGAUCAUGGUGAAGGAGCAAGAGAAGAUGUCACGGCUCCAGAAGAUACUCAUGGAUCUUGGAGACAAGACAGCCAUUGUGUUCUGCAAUACUAAGAAGACAGCGGACAUGCGUGCUAAGGAUCUGGACAAGGCAGGCUUCCGUGUCACAACCCUACAUGGAGGGAAGUCACAAGACCAGAGAGAGAUUAGCCUUGACGGAUUCAGAAACCGACGUUUCAAUGUUCUUGUGGCUACUGAUGUUGCAGGGCGUGGUAUUGAUAUUCCUGAUGUCGCACAUGUGAUUAAUUAUGAGAUGCCUAGUUCAAUUGACACAUACACACAUCGCAUUGGAAGAACAGGACGUGCUGGAAAGAAGGGAGUAGCAACUUCAUUUUUAACGCUGGAGAAUACUGAUAUUUUCUUUGAUCUGAAGCAGAUGCUCAUUCAGAGCAACAGUCCUGUGCCUCCUGAACUUGCAAGACAUGAGGCAUCAAAAUUUAAGCCAGGCUCAAUUCCUGAUAGACCUCCAAGGAGAAAUGACACAGUCUUCGCAAAUCAUUGAAGCGACCUACUGAAGUAGCGGUUGAAGAUCUUUUGGACUAGUAUGAGCGCAAUUUCUACUGGAAAGAGAGGGAUCUAGAUUAGUGUUGAAGAGGUACAAAGACUAUUAUGAUUAGAGAUAUUUUAAUUUAUGUUUGAAAGCUGGCUUUAUAUUGUCAUAACUUUAGUAUGUUUUGGUGAUGAUUUAGCUGUGGACCAUGUGUAUCCUAUCAUAAUUUUGUGCUAUUUUGCAAGCUUUGACAUGGCUGAAUUAUAGUAUUCCCUGUGUAUUUUAUAAAUGCUUUUGGUAUAUUUAGGUAGCAUAUUGCUUCAGACUUCGGAGUCAUUCUUUUAUCAUUUUUGCAGAGAGCACAUUAUCUGACUCUCAUUGUGGAGAUGUAUUGCAUGUAGUUCACAUCAUUUUAGUUCGAAGAGGUGCUAAUUUUAUUUCUUAUUACAUUUUAUUUUCCUGCUAUGUGGUGAUUCGGUGAUCAAUUUUAUAACUUUCUCUGACCUUUGAUCUGGCAGUAGUACAAAAGAAACUAAAUCAAUUGGGUCCCUGUUGUUUGCUUUCACUCUGGGCAUUUAGAAUAAUAUGGUGAAGUGCAGUGCGCUAUACUUCUGAGCCUAGGUUGGUUGUGCUAAAACCAGUUGAAUCAUUAGUGAUGUGGAUCAUUCUGGCAGCAUUUAGAACUUUAAAUCCGGUGACAAUGUUUUGGCUAGGGAGCAAUGAUUAUACCAAACAAGUGUCCAUGCAGAAUAAUCUUAUACGAUAUUUGUAGAUGGUGUCAAAUAGUACUAACAUAGCAUAUAUUCUGUUUAACUAGUGUUCUAUGUUUUUCUAUUAGAUUGUGUAUGUUAGUUAUAUGCUUGUACAAAAAAAUUAGUUCUGAAUAUUUAUCUUAGCUGUGGUGUUGCAUAGGAUAACAAGAGGUACCUGCUAGUCAUAAAAUUGUUAGGUAUAAAGUCUUAAAGCAGUGAACUUUCAGAUUUUAAUGAAAAAUGGUGCAUAGACAUUUCCCUAGUAGUUUUGGGUGCUCAUUAUCCAUGCAGAAAACAAUUUUUGCUAAAUAAUUCCUCUUAUUCGGCUGUUUGCUUCCCUUUGAUCCUCACCAUUUCAAGUUUGAUUUGUGUUUAUACGGUCUGAAUCCAAUAUGAAGUUGAUGAAGUAUGGUAUACUGUACUUGUGGAUAUUGAUUCUUGCCAAUGAUUGAAAUCUUAGCAAUUAUAUCCACAUGCUUGGAUCGCGCCGGGUUUCUUAGGAUGCAGAGGUUUCUUAGGGUGCAGAUAACAGCAAGUUAUGAACCUGUUUUAUUUGAGCUAUCAUCUUUUUUUUUGUUAUCCUUUUAAUUUAUAUUGUAGUCUUUUUUUUUCAGUCGUCCGCACGAUUUUCAUUUGGACCUGUUACAUUUGAACGUGGACUUUAAUUAUCCCUGAUGUAUAUUGACCUUUUGUUUGUAAACAUAGCAAGAUUGUGAUAUAUUCUGAAGCUCGUUUCGAAGUGAUUCUACUCGUUAUCAUUGGCAAUGUUGACACUGUAUACAGAGUGUUCAGGAAGGGUGCAUUCUAUUGUUCAGAUGACGUGAACAAGUUCUAUUCAUCGAAACAAACAAGCACAGGCUCUGAAUCAACUGUUCAAGAUCAUUUCUCCAUAAUCUCCAAGCCUUAUACCACACUAAUUUCUUGUGAUCACGUCAACUCACAUUCAAUUACUGGUAAGCAGCACAGCACAUUUUACAACCCAAAAAAGGCACACCUAACCGGAAACUAAAGCAGCUCAACACCAUUAUGAAGAACCCAAAGUAAAAUAGUUGCACACCACGUUUGCAGCCAUGGUAUGCCAAACAAUACUAAGGAGCAAGUACAGCGGAUACAAUUCUAAGUUUCAUCGAAACAACAAAUGGAAAAGAGCACAGAAGUUCAUCGAAACCAAAAAAAAAAAAGGAAAAGAACAGAAGGGUUCGCUCGAUCUGCUAAAGGCAAUUUCGUCCUAACCACCUAUAAACUUAGACGACUAUAGUUCGACCCAAUGUCACUAUUAUAACAUGCAAAUACUCCGUGCAAGCAAACUAAACAUCAGAAGCUCAAUCAGCUCUGUAGAGUUGCUGUGCGAUGUGCCUGCC
Molecule: long non-coding RNA, 26397 nt
Filed under: Setaria viridis
Lineage: Eukaryota; Viridiplantae; Streptophyta; Magnoliopsida; Poales; Poaceae
Description: long non-coding RNA (SVIR_LNC010154)
Source: RNAcentral